This 253-nucleotide ribosomal RNA is filed under the name uncultured bacterium. RNAcentral's name for it is "partial 16S ribosomal RNA". It matches the Rfam family "Bacterial small subunit ribosomal RNA", at positions 524 to 776 of the family's 1533-position model. The record is from RNAcentral.
UACAGAGGGUGCGAGCGUUAAUCGGAAUUACUGGGCGUAAAGGGUGCGUAGGUGGUUUUGUAAGUAACAUGUGAAAGUCCUGAGCUUAACUUGGGGAUUGCAUGUUAAACUGCAAAGCUAGAGUGUUGUAGAGGAUAGCGGAAUUUCCGGUGUAGCGGUGAAAUGCGUAGAUAUCGGGAGGAACACCUGUGGCGAAAGCGGCGCACUGGACCACAACUGACGCUGAGGCGCGAAAGCUAGGGGAGCAAACAGG